Molecule: long non-coding RNA, 458 nt
Organism: Daphnia carinata
Lineage: Eukaryota; Metazoa; Arthropoda; Branchiopoda; Diplostraca; Daphniidae
Exons: 3
Source: RefSeq, a predicted model, not a curated record
CGUCUAGACGCUAGAUAUUCACAUUCGUACGGAGUCUUGCUUCUACAAAUAUACCACAACUAUAUCACCAUCGUCAAUCGAUUCGCUUAUCAGGAACGACCCUUUCAAUCCAUGUGUGAGUAGGUGCUGGCGUGUUUACUCUGGCUGCCUUUCAAACUGAUUCAAAUGAGGUUUCAUCACUGCUGGUAUUCAUCAUAUAGUCAUGUCCUUUAAUUCACAUUACUAACCGGAUACUUCUGAAUGUAAAUAGAAAUUAUUAAACAUCGAAAAUCUUAUCAAUAAAGUUUAAAUAUGUAUGUGUAAUUCUUGUACCUGCAAAACACUAUUUUAACGUAUGCCCUGCAUAUGUGAAUCUACUUGAUAUUUCAACUGUUCGACUUUGAAUAACUAUUAAAUUAUUUAAUGUUACACUAACCCAAAAAAUAAUUCUGAUCACUAACAAAUAAGCAAAGCAAAGU